ACUUUAGCUCAGCAAGAUAUAGUACUACUCUUUCUUUACGCCUUCACUGCUAUAGCGUACUGUAUGACAUACUGUAAAAAUAUUGUAGAGGAAGACCAAAAUAAAAUGUCAGCCUGCUUUAUUCUUCUAGGGCGGCUAGUCAUGGGAAAGCCCAGGCGCCAUACCAGUGUCUGGACUUUAGCAGAGCUGACGAAGAGUUUUAUAACAAAACAACAGAGGGAGGUCACUUCUAGGGCUGUGGCGGUCAUUACAUUUUGUCAGCCGGUUCUUGUCAUGGAAAUAACUGCUGGUCUCACGGUAAUUGACCGUUAAUCAUAGUUUUUUUUUCUGAAUGCUUAAACACUAACAGUGAUUCUCGAAGCACUAUCUCUGAAACCAUUAACACUUGUAGCCAAUGCAAUUACCAAGUGUGCCAAACUGAAUGCAUGUUCUCUGCUUUACACUGAGUUUGUAAUUUUAUAACAGACUUUUUGCAAAACUGUAAAACAUAACACACUGCUGUACACUCAGUUUGCAAUUUAAUAACACACUUCUAGCAAAACUGUAAACAUUGGUCUCUACAUUGCUACAUUAUUUUGCCAAUUGCCUUUCCACAUUGACACAUGAAAACACUUUUAGAUAACGAGUUAACUUACAAAUCAGAGCUUAAGCACUAUAAAUAGGCCACAGGUAAACAUUUGGAUUGGACAACGAUGGAGGCCAAUAUUGGACGGAGAGUAAGAGGGGUGAGAACUAGAGGAGGACGAGGAGGAGGAAGAAGAGGACGAGGAGGUGAAGAAGUAAGAGGAGGAGGAGGAGAGGGAAGAGGUGAAGUAAGACAGGGAGAAGAAGAGGAGGGGAAGAGGAAGGGGAGUCAGGUACGCAAUAACUGAUGAAAUAGAGCGACUGUGGUUGACCAUGUUGUCAACCAUGGGAUGAGCAUGAGGGAGGCUGGGCAACAGGUUCAACCAAAUCUGAGCCGCUAUACUGUUGCAGGUAUCAUCCGGAUAUUUUGAAAUGAGAACCGAACUGCAAGAAAACCAGUAUCUGGUGGAAGAGGUCAACUGUUCACCCCAGAGCAGGAGACCCACAUUGUAAAUAUAGCCACUGCAAAUAACUGCAUCAGAAUCAGAGAACUGCAGGACCACAAUGGUAGAUAACACCAUAAUCCUAAACAUCAACAGAGUGAGUCUCUGCACCGUCUCGUCUACUGAAACGCAAUAUAAUUAGGAUGAAGCAGUUGUACAGAGUCCCUUUCGAAAGAAACUCAGACCGUGUAAAACAACUGAGAUAUGAACAUGUGCAGAGAGUCAUGGAGCUAGAAGCAGAUGCUACCGUCUCUUACGACCGUUAAGACCUUCUGGACAUCAGAACUGGGAUUAUUCACCUCAAAUUGAACGAGGAGUUCUUCUUCAAUGAGUCGGACGUGAGGGAAAUACUACAGACACCCGAACAGGCCCAGAUCCCUGUGAUUCGCUGGAGAAGGAAACUGAGAUUUUGAGGCAAAAGAUCAGGGUGCCUUGCGAGGAUCAGGCAACGAGUUGCUAAUCUACCCUUGCCUUCCGUUCUGCUAGCUAACGUUCAAUCGCUGGAAAAUAAAUGUGAGGAACUGAAAGAAUAUACAGUUUUUCUGUUCUUUUUUUUCUAGAACAAAUGUUUUUGUUUUCUUCUACUGCGCUUUUGUUGUUUGAGUGUUAGAACAUUUUGAGAUUUUUUUUGUAUUGAUAGUGUGUUAUGUUGGGAAUACACAUCCAUACUUUACACAUUUGGAUACCUGUGUGUAUGUGUGUUUACUACAUGUAUGACAACAUUUUAUUGCAAACUGCUAUGCUCUGCACACAGAAAAAGUUAAAGCCACAAGUGUUUUUCCUUUAUACUAUCAGUGCAUAGUUGGUGCUUCGUGUGCUUAUUCAAAUGAUGGUUUGUGUGUAGUGUAUUGACGCAAAAACAUUUUUUUUUAAAGAGUUUUGCAAGAAUUGUUUGCUUUUGUAAGAGAUGUAUAAUGUUUUGCUGGUUUGGUGUAAGGUUUUGUGAUUAGUGUGUAGAGUUUUAAAGAUAAUGCCCAAGCAAUCAGAAAAAACUGUAGCAUAAACAUAUUUAGCAUCUCCUGGCUUCCAUGCAUAGCAUAAAAGCCACUGAUGCAGACCUUUGGAACAUCUACAUUUAAAAAAAAAAAAAUCUAAUAAAUCCAUGUAAUAUAGCCGACACCAGCACAAUAAAUCCAUUAUUUAUUUUAGACAGGUCUAACGAAACAUGAUAUGAAAAAUAUAUAUAUUUCAGAAGAACAGAAUAGCAUACUGAGUUGUCCUUAUGUUAGGUCCUGAUCUGGCUAUGCCACAUGGCUGUGUGCUACACUAGUUCUAGUUAAUUAGUUAAUAUAACUAGUUCAUUCAGCACAACAUAUUUUCUUAGAAUUCUGUGAAAUUAUUUUAUACAAAUACAAUUGAACACAGCUGAAUAAAAUAGAAAGGAUAUUUUCUUCAAAAAGAUGAUGGGAGCUGCACAUGCAGCUAUUCCGUGUUGAGCGGUUAAAAAAGAAAUAGGUCCUCCUAUUUACUUCAUUUAGAGUUAUUUAUGCUACUUUAGUUGUGAUACAAAUGUUGGGCUAUAGGUUUUGAUUGUUAAUACAAAAGUUGCAUGAAAGGCA
This is a non-coding RNA of Oncorhynchus mykiss (rainbow trout), 2626 nucleotides long. The record is from RefSeq and is a predicted model, not a curated record. Lineage: Eukaryota; Metazoa; Chordata; Actinopteri; Salmoniformes; Salmonidae.